This 240-nucleotide ribosomal RNA is filed under the name uncultured Streptococcaceae bacterium. Its description in RNAcentral is "partial 16S ribosomal RNA". It matches the Rfam family "Bacterial small subunit ribosomal RNA", at positions 99 to 334 of the family's 1533-position model. The record is from RNAcentral. Lineage: Bacteria; Bacillati; Bacillota; Bacilli; Lactobacillales; Streptococcaceae.
CGAACGGGUGAGUAACGCGUAGGUAACCUACCUCAUAGCGGGGGAUAACUAUUGGAAACGAUAGCUAAUACCGCAUAAGAGAGACUAACGCAUGUUAGUAAUUUAAAAGGGGCAAUUGCUCCACUAUGAGAUGGACCUGCGUUGUAUUAGCUAGUUGGUGAGGUAAAGGCUCACCAAGGCGACGAUACAUAGCCGACCUGAGAGGGUGAUCGGCCACACUGGGACUGAGACACGGCCCAG